RNAcentral lists this ribosomal RNA (200 nucleotides) under uncultured bacterium. Its description in RNAcentral is "partial 16S ribosomal RNA". It matches the Rfam family "Bacterial small subunit ribosomal RNA", at positions 29 to 223 of the family's 1533-position model. The record is from RNAcentral.
AGUGAACGCUGGCGGUAGGCCUAACACAUGCAAGUCGUGGGGCAGCACAGUGUAGCAAUACAUGGGUGGCGACCGUCGAACGGGUGCGUAACGCGUAUGCAACCUACCUAUCACUGGGGGAUAGCCCGGGGAAACCCGGAUUAAUACCGCAUGAUACAUAGAGAAUACCUAUUUUUUAUGUUAAAGAUUUAUCGGUGGUA